UACGUAGGGGGCAAGCGUUGUCCGGAAUCAUUGGGCGUAAAGAGCUCGUAGGCGGUUUGGUAAGUCUGGUGUGAAAUCUCCACGCUCAACGUGGAGGGGCCACCCGAUACUGCCAUGACUGGAGUCCGGUAGAGGAGUGUGGAAUUCCCGGUGUAGCGGUGAAAUGCGCAGAUAUCGGGAGGAACACCCGUAGCGAAGGCGGCACUCUGGGCCGGUACUGACGCUGAGGAGCGAAAGCGUGGGGAGCAAACAGG
This 254-nucleotide ribosomal RNA is filed under the name uncultured bacterium. RNAcentral's name for it is "partial 16S ribosomal RNA". It matches the Rfam family "Bacterial small subunit ribosomal RNA", at positions 524 to 776 of the family's 1533-position model. The record is from RNAcentral.